GCGGUUGUCAUAUAACGGCUAUUAUCCGGGCUUCCCAAGCCCGUGACGCGGGUUCGACUCCCGUCAACCGCU
This 72-nucleotide transfer RNA is filed under the name Treponema saccharophilum. RNAcentral describes it as "tRNA-Gly". It matches the Rfam family "tRNA". Rfam says of the family: Transfer RNA (tRNA) molecules are approximately 80 nucleotides in length. Their secondary structure includes four short double-helical elements and three loops (D, anti-codon, and T loops). RNAcentral also lists the same sequence under 1 other name. The record is from RNAcentral. Lineage: Bacteria; Pseudomonadati; Spirochaetota; Spirochaetia; Treponematales; Treponemataceae.